GUUAUAGUGGCCAUUAUGACUUCUUCCAGCAUGGUUCCAUCUAUUGUGACUAUUGGAGGAGGCCAGAGGUGAAGAGGGAAAGCAGUCAGAUAGGACCAACAUUUGAUAAAGCAGUAGAAAUGGAGCAUCUGCAAGCAGAGUUUCAUCAUCUAGAAAUCUGUGUGCUGGACUCAGAUGAGGAAAUUGAGCAUUAGAGUAAUUAAAUCACGUGCCCAGGCUCACACAAAUAGCAAAUGAAUGAAUCUUGGAUUUUAACUCAGGCAAUAUAAUU
This is a long non-coding RNA of Heterocephalus glaber (naked mole-rat), 271 nucleotides long. RefSeq lists it as uncharacterized. NCBI's taxonomy places the organism in Eukaryota, Metazoa, Chordata, Mammalia, Rodentia, Bathyergidae. The record is from RefSeq and is a predicted model, not a curated record.